Molecule: small nuclear RNA, 104 nt
Organism: Sorex araneus (European shrew)
Lineage: Eukaryota; Metazoa; Chordata; Mammalia; Eulipotyphla; Soricidae
Source: Ensembl
AUGGUAGAACCAGCACAUAUGCUAAAAUUGCAAUGAUACAGAGAAGAUUAACAUGGCCCCUGCGCAAGGAUGACCUUUCCCCUGGGGAAGGAAAAACUGCUCCU